This 497-nucleotide ribosomal RNA is filed under the name uncultured bacterium. RNAcentral describes it as "partial 16S ribosomal RNA". It matches the Rfam family "Bacterial small subunit ribosomal RNA", at positions 28 to 507 of the family's 1533-position model. The record is from RNAcentral.
GACGAACGCUGGCGGCGUGCCUAAUACAUGCAAGUUGAGCGAUGAAGAUUGGUGCUUGGACCAAUUUGAAGAGCAGCGAACGGGUGAGUAACGCGUGGGGAAUCUGCCUUUGAGCGGGGGACAACAUUUGGAAACGAAUGCUAAUACCGCAUAACAACUUUAAACAUAAGUUUUAAGUUUGAAAGAUGCAAUUGCAUCACUCAAAGAUGAUCCCGCGUUGUAUUAGCUAGUUGGUGAGGUAAAGGCUCACCAAGGCGAUGAUACAUAGCCGACCUGAGAGGGUGGUCGGCCACAUUGGGACUGUGACACGGCCCAAACUCCUACGGGAGGCAGCAGUAGGGAAUCUUCGGCAAUAGACGAAAGUCUGACCGAGCAACGCCGCGUGAGUGAAGAAGGUUGUCGGAUCGUAAAACUCUGUUGGUAGAGAAGAACGUUGGUGAGAGUGGAAAGCUCAUCAAGUGACGGUAACUACCCAGAAAGGGACGGCUAACUACGUG